RNAcentral lists this long non-coding RNA (655 nucleotides) under Mus pahari (shrew mouse). Its description in RNAcentral is "metastasis associated lung adenocarcinoma transcript 1 (non-coding RNA) (MGP_PahariEiJ_G0004192.1)". The record is from RNAcentral. Lineage: Eukaryota; Metazoa; Chordata; Mammalia; Rodentia; Muridae.
GCGGCUGGUGAGGCAGGAGGCUCAGCCUGAGGAAUUCACAGAUAAGUUUCUACUUAAAAAGAUUGAACAAUAAAAAGAAUUAGGACUCUAAACUUAAGUUAACAGAGCAGCUUAUCGAAAUAAUACUUAGUCUUAAUAAUCUAAGAAGAUUUUAAAGAUAACAUGAAGGCUUAUUUAAACAGUUUGAAAAAGGAAAAGAGAAGAAAAAUAUUUGUACAGUGUGAUGGAGGCUGACCUGAAGCAUUUAUCCAGAGCAGGUUAGGAGGUCGUAAGGGGAGGUGUUAACGAAGUUUUAAGAGGUUCUAGUUUGAGGGUCAGCCUUGUAGAUUAAAACGAAGGUUACCUAAACAGAAUCUAAAUGGCAUUUAAAACAGUAAAGUCGUAGACAAUAGUUUGAAAAUGAGGUGUAGUUUAAAACGAUUGAGAAAAAUAGGUUAAUGUGAAGGCUGUUAUAAAAGGCCUUUGGCGCAUAUAUGUUUGAAGGCAUGAGUUGGAAACUGUUAGGCUAGCCGGGCAGUGGUGGCGCACGCCUUUAAUCCCAGCCAGCACUCGGGCGCAGAGUGAGUUCCAGGACAGCCAGGGCUACGCAGAGCAACCCUGUCUCGAAAAACCAAAAAAAAAAAAAAGUCAGGUCAGGCUAGUAUUUGGAGAAAGA